GCCGGGUGUGGUGGUGCAUGCCUGUAGUUCCAGCUACCUGGGAGGCUGAGGCAGGAGGAUCACUUGAGCCUGGGGAGGUCGAGGCUGCAGUGAGUUGUGACUGCAUCACUGCACUCCAGCCUGGGUGAUAGAGUGAGACCCUGUCUCAA
This is an unclassified non-coding RNA of Macaca fascicularis (crab-eating macaque), 149 nucleotides long. It matches the Rfam family "Metazoan signal recognition particle RNA". Rfam says of the family: The signal recognition particle (SRP) is a universally conserved ribonucleoprotein. It is involved in the co-translational targeting of proteins to membranes. The eukaryotic SRP consists of a 300-nucleotide 7S RNA and six proteins: SRPs 72, 68, 54, 19, 14, and 9. The record is from Ensembl. NCBI's taxonomy places the organism in Eukaryota, Metazoa, Chordata, Mammalia, Primates, Cercopithecidae.